GCCGGGCGCAGUGGUGCACGCCUAUAAUCCCAGUGGCUUGGGAGGCUGAGGCAGGAGGAUUGUGAGUUCAAAGGCGAGGCACUUAGCAACUCAGUGAGACCCUGUCUCUA
This 110-nucleotide small RNA is filed under the name Marmota monax (woodchuck). Lineage: Eukaryota; Metazoa; Chordata; Mammalia; Rodentia; Sciuridae. The record is from RNAcentral.